CCUACGGGGGGCAGCAGUAGGGAAUCUUCCACAAUGGGCGAAAGCCUGAUGGAGCAACGCCGCGUGGGUGAAGAAGGUCUUCGGAUCGUAAAACUCUGUUGUUAGAGAAGAAAGGGCGUGAGUGUAACUGUUCACGUUUCGACGGUAUCUAACCAGAUAGCCACGGCUAACUACGUGCCAGCAGCCGCGGUAAUACGUAGGUGGCAAGCGUUAUCCGGAUUUAUUGGGCGUAAAGGGAACGCAGGCGGUCUUUUAAGUCUGAUGUGAAAGCCUUCGGCUUAACCGGAGUAGUGCAUUGGAAACUGGUAGACUUGAGUGCAGAAGAGGAGAGUGGAACUCCAGGUGUAGCGGUGAAAUGCGUAGAUAUAUGGAAGAACACCAGUGGCGAAAGCGGCUCUCUGGUCUGUAACUGACGCUGAGGUUCGAAAGCGUGGGUAGCAAACAGGAUUAGAUACCCGAGUAGUC
This 465-nucleotide ribosomal RNA is filed under the name uncultured bacterium. Its description in RNAcentral is "partial 16S ribosomal RNA". It matches the Rfam family "Bacterial small subunit ribosomal RNA", at positions 338 to 795 of the family's 1533-position model. The record is from RNAcentral.